Molecule: ribosomal RNA, 562 nt
Filed under: uncultured eukaryote
Lineage: Eukaryota
Description: SSU rRNA
Rfam family: Eukaryotic small subunit ribosomal RNA
Source: RNAcentral
UCUGGUUGAUCCUGCCAGUAGUCAUAUGCUUGUCUCAAAGAUUAAGCCAUGCAUGUCUAAGUAUAAGCAAUUUAUACAGUGAAACUGCGAAUGGCUCAUUAAAUCAGUUAUCGUUUAUUUGAUAGUUCCUUUACUACAUGGUAUAACUGUGGUAAUUCUAGAGCUAAUACAUGCUUAAAAUCUCGACCCUUUGGAAGAGAUGUAUUUAUUAGAUAAAAAAUCAAUGUCUUCGGACUCUUUGAUGAUUCAUAAUAACUUUUCGAAUCGCAUGGCCUUGUGCUGGCGAUGGUUCAUUCAAAUUUCUGCCCUAUCAACUUUCGAUGGUAGGAUAGUGGCCUACCAUGGUUUCAACGGGUAACGGGGAAUAAGGGUUCGAUUCCGGAGAGGGAGCCUGAGAAACGGCUACCACAUCCAAGGAAGGCAGCAGGCGCGCAAAUUAUCCAAUCCUAAUUCAGGGAGGUAGUGACAAUAAAUAACGAUACAGGGCCCAUUCGGGUCUUGUAAUUGGAAUGAGUACAAUGUAAAUACCUUAACGAGGAACAAUUGGAGGGCAAGUCUGGUA